GCUCAGCCUUUGUGGGCUCACGCUGGUCUUGCCAGGGAGACCCCCAGCCUGGAUGCCUCGUGUUGCUCUCAUGGCACUGCCACGAGGGAGCCCAGUCUGCCGGGAGCAGUGACACCGCUGAUGGUGCUGUGCCACUUGCCAUCACGGACUGACUGCUGCCCUGAGGACAGGCAACGUUUUGCUCCCCCUCCAGGCAGGCAGUGAAAUGAGAUCGAUGGGGAAAGUCCUGCAGACCUGAUGUAUCUACUCUAUGCCUUUUCCCAGUAGUUAGUCAUUUUCCUGCAUCAGCAGAAGAGAAUGAGAGCUGUUUCAAACAACCUGUUUCAAGAGCAUCCCUGUGCUGUCUUGGGAAGCAUCAAAUGAGGACAAAUGUGCCUGACCCUUUCCAGCUGCUGCUGCUGCUGUGUUUGGUAAGAGAGAACGCAUACAUUGGACCUGGAAAAAGGAAUAAAAGUGGUAAGAGAGAUGUUCUCGUCAAAACACCUUCCCAUGGCUCUGGCCUGU
This is a long non-coding RNA of Dromaius novaehollandiae (emu), 504 nucleotides long. Lineage: Eukaryota; Metazoa; Chordata; Aves; Casuariiformes; Dromaiidae. The record is from Ensembl.